GGUCAUAGGUCAGUGGUAGAACAUCUGCUUGGCAUGCAGAAGGUCCCAAAUUCAAUCCCCGGCAUCUCCA
This 70-nucleotide transfer RNA is filed under the name Podarcis lilfordi (Lilford's wall lizard). RNAcentral describes it as "tRNA.Ala". The record is from RNAcentral. Lineage: Eukaryota; Metazoa; Chordata; Lepidosauria; Squamata; Lacertidae.